AACGGAAGCCUGUUUCCAGCUACACACAUCGUAGCCUUCCAUAUAAAACUUCACUCCAGGACAGUAAUCUCAGACAAAAAUUACAACAGUUGUUUGAUCCAAUUAUAUAUAAUGCUGGUCACUAUAUAGAUCUUGGUUCGAGUCAACAGUGUGAGCACGCAAACAAAGAGGUCACACUAAGAGCACCUAAAAGUCAUCACUAUGGAAACUCCAGUAGUCUUGAUUAUCGUGUCCAUGUAACAGCAGCAUUCAUAAAUGAAGGAAGGCAGUACAUUUCUAAGAAGUUCUUGUUGUUGUUCUUUACAUAUACCUGUUUGUUGGACACAGUUAGACUUAUGUGAAGCCCUGAAUGUAAUGUAAGUAAAUAAAGUUUUCAUUUAAAGUUAUUCAAUCUACAAUCCAGAUAAUCUAUCAAAUGCAUACUUAAACGAUAAAUUUUAUAAAAGAUGUACUAUUAUAUUCUUAAAUAUCAGACAGGAUUUUCUAUUAUGCACACAAUGCAAGAUAUACUAUUAUAUUCUUAAAUAUCAGACAGGAUUUUCUAUUAUGCACACAUUGCAAGAGAAACUUUUCUUCCGCCGCCAAUGAAAGACAAUUUGCUUACACAUGACGUCAUAAUUAUGAGUAAACUCAUAGUCUUUGUUACUAUACAAAAUAAGCUGCUACUAGUUUUUCAUAAUUUCUUUCCGAAAAAACACCACAUAACGUAUUGUUAUCAAAUGAUUAAAUUAUUAACUUGUAUAAAACAGGGUUACUCAAUGUUGGGUCUUUCACCUGGGACUCGUACAGUUUGUCAUGCAGGGAAAUGUAUGAAACAGCAGGAAAAAAAGAGAGAAAAGGCAAAAUUCCCCUCCACCAAACGUAGGUGAUUGUUGUUACAACAGGAACGGGCCACUAAUCAGGGUGCAAAUGAGGCACUGGAAGGAGAUACAUAUCAGUCUGGUAUUGGUCAUGCAGAAACUGUUAAUGUCGAGAAAAUACCUGAUUCAAUUCCACGGGGGAAUUUCAAGCCUGCAAAAUUCCAUUGUAAGCCAACUAUAAUAUCCUUUGACUUGGAAACAACUGGGCUAAUUCAAGGAGGAGUCCAACCUCAGAUGACACAAAUUUCUGCAGCAGAAGUUGUGCCAGGGCAACAAUUCAACACAUAUGUCAACCCUACAGUUCCCAUUGAUAACACAGCAACUAGUGUUACUGGAAUAGCAUAUUUUGAAGGCCAGAUGACAGUUAAUGGAACAAAAGUUCAAUCUGUGAAUAUUAGAUCAGCAGUUGAUGAUAUGAUCGCCUGGAUUUCUAAAUUUCAAAAUGUGUGUUUAGUUGCACAUAAUGGACGUAGGUUCGAUUUCCCAAUUUUGGUAACACGCUAACAAAUCUCGGAGUUCUUAAUUGAUAAGUUUUCAAAGUGUGCAUUUAUUGAUUCUUUGUUUGUGUUUAGAAAACUUUAUCCUAAGCAAUCUUUGAAACAAGUUGACCUUGUAUCCUCUAUUCUUGGUGAAGUGUAUGAUGCACAUAAUGCCAUUGAAGAUGUAAAGGCACUCGGAAAGUUAAUUCAGCCCAACAAAAGAUUUGAUGGAACAUAGUUUCAGUCCAUCUGCAGUAGCCAACAACAUCAUGUUCAAUAAGGCUAAAGCCUCAAAUUUACCAUCAUUGAAUCCUUUGAUUUAUACAGGAGUAAUGAAAAGACCUACUGCUGAAAACAUUGCAGGAUCUGGAUUAAAUUUGUCGCAUUUAAAGUUGUUGUAUAUUCGCGGUGGGGAGGACGCUUUACGGGAUGUUUUCACAGCUAAGAGUUCUGAAGGCUUGCCUACAGUCACACAUUUUAAAAAAUUAUUGGAUGAAAUAAUUCCUAACAUGUCAAAGUUUUUUUUAAUUAAAAAAAUGAUUAGGUAACAUGUUUGACAAGUACUCAGAAAAAAAGUAUUUUUGAUACGUAUGUUACUUAU
Ruditapes philippinarum (Manila clam) is the source of this 1940-nucleotide long non-coding RNA. RefSeq lists it as uncharacterized. The transcript has 4 exons. Lineage: Eukaryota; Metazoa; Mollusca; Bivalvia; Venerida; Veneridae. The record is from RefSeq and is a predicted model, not a curated record.